RNAcentral lists this ribosomal RNA (502 nucleotides) under uncultured bacterium. RNAcentral describes it as "partial 16S ribosomal RNA". It matches the Rfam family "Bacterial small subunit ribosomal RNA", at positions 899 to 1397 of the family's 1533-position model. The record is from RNAcentral.
ACUCAAAUGAAUUGACGGGGACCCGCACAAGCGGUGGAACAUGUGGUUUAAUUCGAGGCAACGCGAAGAACCUUACCAGGACUUGACUUGCCCUCUGUGGGAACGAGAGAUCGAUCCCUUCACCUCGGGUGGGAGGAGCACAGGUGCUGCAUGGCUGUCGUCAGCUCGUGUCGUGAGAUGUUGGGUUAAGUCCCGCAACGAGCGCAACCCUCAUCCCUUGUUGCUACCAGGUAAUGCUGGGCACUCUAGGGAAACUGCCGGUGAUAAGCCGGAGGAAGGUGGGGAUGACGUCAAGUCCUCAUGGCCCUUACGUCCUGGGCUACACACGUGUUACAAUGGCAGUGACAAUGGGCUGCUACCCUGCGAGGGGUUGCGAAUCCCAAAAAGCUGCCUCAGUUCGGAUUGUACUCUGCAACUCGAGUACAUGAAGCUGGAAUCGCUAGUAAUCGCGCAUCAGCUCGGCGCGGUGAAUACGUUCCCGGGUCUUGCACACACCGCCCGU